UACAGAGGGUGCAAGCGUUAAUCGGAAUUACUGGGCGUAAAGGGCGCGUAGGUGGUUAUGUAAGUGAGAUGUGAAAUCCCCGGGCUUAACCUGGGAACUGCGUCUUAUACUGCAUGGCUGGAGUACAUGAGAGGGUAGUGGAAUUUCCGGUGUAGCGGUGAAAUGCGUAGAUAUCGGAAGGAACACCAGUGGCGAAGGCGGCUACCUGGCAUGAUACUGACACUGAGGCGCGAGAGCGUGGGGAGCAAACAGG
This 253-nucleotide ribosomal RNA is filed under the name uncultured bacterium. RNAcentral's name for it is "partial 16S ribosomal RNA". It matches the Rfam family "Bacterial small subunit ribosomal RNA", at positions 524 to 776 of the family's 1533-position model. The record is from RNAcentral.